Molecule: non-coding RNA, 126 nt
Filed under: Gilliamella sp.
Lineage: Bacteria; Pseudomonadati; Pseudomonadota; Gammaproteobacteria; Orbales; Orbaceae
Description: MoCo sequence
Rfam family: Molybdenum/Tungsten riboswitch aptamer (Moco RNA motif)
Source: RNAcentral
GACUGAAUCAAACUCUGAAGCUCUUUUGCCUAAGUGAUAUUUCAAUUCAUAUGGUGGAUUAGCCGCGGUAUAGCACAGAAAUGGCUAUGCUUCCCGAUUUGGAUAAGGUGUUUAAAUAUAUGCAAU